RNAcentral lists this ribosomal RNA (509 nucleotides) under uncultured bacterium. RNAcentral describes it as "bacterial SSU rRNA". It matches the Rfam family "Bacterial small subunit ribosomal RNA", at positions 24 to 518 of the family's 1533-position model. The record is from RNAcentral.
UCAGGACGAACGCUGGCGGCGUGCCUAACACAUGCAAGUCGAGCGGGGACAUUGCGACGGAGACGAAGUACUCGUACGGAGUCAAAGAUGUAAUGUCUAGCGGCGGACGGGUGAGUAACGCGUGAGCAACCUGUCCCUUACAGGGGGAUAACACAGCGAAAGUUGUACUAAUACCGCAUAAGACCACAGAGUGACAUCGCUCAGGGGUCAAAGGAGCAAUCCGGUAAGGGGUGGGCUCGCGUCCGAUUAGAUAGUUGGUGAGGUAACGGCCCACCAAGUCGACGAUCGGUAGCCGACCUGAGAGGGUGAUCGGCCACAUUGGGACUGAGACACGGCCCAAACUCCUACGGGAGGCAGCAGUGGGGAAUAUUGGGCAAUGGGGGGAAACCCUGACCCAGCAACGCCGCGUGAGGGAAGAAGGUUUUCGGAUCGUAAACCUCUGUCCCAGGUGAAGAGGAAGAGACGGUAGCCUGGGAGGAAGCCCCGGCUAACUACGUGCCAGCCGCCGC